GAUGAACGCUGGCGGCGUGCCUAAUACAUGCAAGUAGAACGCUGAAGCUUGGUGCUUGCACCGAGCGGAUGAGUUGCGAACGGGUGAGUAACGCGUAGGUAACCUGCCUGGUAGCGGGGGAUAACUAUUGGAAACGAUAGCUAAUACCGCAUAACAGUAGAUAUUGCAUGAUAUCUGCUUGAAAGGUGCAAAUGCAUCACUACCAGAUGGACCUGCGUUGUAUUAGCUAGUUGGUGAGGUAACGGCUCACCAAGGCGACGAUACAUAGCCGACCUGAGAGGGGGGUGGGCAGAACUGGGAGUGAGACACGGCGGAGAGGCCAAGGGGAGGCAGCAGGAGGGAAUUUGCGGCAAUGGGUGGAACCCUGACAGAGCAACGAUGAGAGAGAGAAGAAGGUUUGCGGAUGGUAAAGCUCUGCUGUAAGAGAAGAACGAGAGAGAGAGUGGAAAAUUCACCCUGCGACGGUAUCUUAACAGAAAGGGAAGGCUAACUACGUG
RNAcentral lists this ribosomal RNA (497 nucleotides) under uncultured bacterium. RNAcentral describes it as "partial 16S ribosomal RNA". It matches the Rfam family "Bacterial small subunit ribosomal RNA", at positions 28 to 507 of the family's 1533-position model. The record is from RNAcentral.